RNAcentral lists this ribosomal RNA (253 nucleotides) under uncultured bacterium. Its description in RNAcentral is "partial 16S ribosomal RNA". It matches the Rfam family "Bacterial small subunit ribosomal RNA", at positions 524 to 776 of the family's 1533-position model. The record is from RNAcentral.
GACGAACCGUGCGAACGUUGUUCGGAUUCACUGGGCUUAAAGGGCGCGUAGGCGGGUUGUCAAGUCAGGGGUGAAAUCUUUCGGCUCAACCGGAAAAGUGCUUCUGAUACUGGCAACCUGGAGGGAGGUAGGGGCAGAUGGAACUUCCGGUGGAGCGGUGAAAUGCGUAGAUAUCAGGAGGAACACCGGUGGCGAAGGCGGGAUCCUGGGCCAGUACUGACGCUGAGGAGCGAAAGCGUGGGGAGCAAACAGG